This is a long non-coding RNA of Lolium rigidum, 983 nucleotides long. RefSeq lists it as uncharacterized. Lineage: Eukaryota; Viridiplantae; Streptophyta; Magnoliopsida; Poales; Poaceae. The transcript has 2 exons. The record is from RefSeq and is a predicted model, not a curated record.
CACACGCGGGCCAUUGGGGCCGGCGGCAGUGCGCGCGGCACGUUGCAGCGCAGCAAGUAGCACAACCGCUGAGCAGUGCUGCUGGAGGACGAAGGGAGCUUGGGCGUGGCUGGCCGGCAUGGACCACCAAUUUCUGUGCCUCCAACAGCGGGUUCGAAAAUAUUGCGCUCUAGAAGGUCGUCAUUCCUAUCCAUUACCGCUGUCCAUUGAACGGGAAUUCAAUUGUUUGCUGCUGAGAAAUGCUUGUGGUAGUAAGGAAAUGGUACUGUCUAAUAGCACCCAAGUUUCUAUAUUUUUCUUAUAGGACAAUGUUUAUGAUUCUACUUGAAGAGUAUAAAUUCAUGUGAUGUAUUGAAAAUGAUAUUUAAAACUGAAGUUGGAAAUGUGUAAAUAGUCGAGGUGCAUAACUUCUGGCACAUAGACCAUCUGGUUCCACCAUUCCCAGCAGCAAUAUAUAUCUGAAUAGCAACAACAUGGCCGUUUGGUACAGUUCAUAUAUUUUUUUCCUGGUGUCUCUACUGAAUAGACCCUCCAAACAAUAAAGGCAUAGUGGCAUCUAACCGCUUACCUUUUCAUGGACAUAGAUAUUGGACAUGAUGAAGUCAUUAACACCUUAACUUUCAUUGUAUAUCAUCCAACUGCUUGCAGGUGAUAUCUGCACGCCCUGUUGCUCCAUGUCUAUUCUCACUUGCCCUGCCUCCUCAUGCAACCUAGGUCUGAAUACAUAUUUGCAAUGAAACAAAGUUCCAUGCAUUCUGAAGUUUAAUUUCAAACAAUGCUGCACCGCAACUUCUGCCAACCCCAGGAAUGUAAUGCCAUUCUCCAGCUCCAUACGUCUCUGAGAUUGUGACACUUAGGAGUCAAACAUGUAUACCACUUAGGAAUGUUACGGUGUUGUAAUGAUCAUUGUAUUGAUCCAUAGAGUUACAUGCACGUCCUCUGAAAGGCGACGUGCAGUCCAUGGUAGCAUCCUUCUCUCUUUC